This is a non-coding RNA of Gossypium hirsutum (cotton), 144 nucleotides long. The record is from Rfam. Lineage: Eukaryota; Viridiplantae; Streptophyta; Magnoliopsida; Malvales; Malvaceae.
UGUUAAAAAUUUAAUCAUUUUGUGCUAUUAAAAAUAUGUGUGGCUUACAAAAUAACUAGACAAUGACACAUGUGUGCCAUGUAUACUUUAUGCUGACAUAUGCAGACUAACUUUUCACAGUAAAAAUGGACUAAUUCUUUAACA